RNAcentral lists this ribosomal RNA (1517 nucleotides) under uncultured prokaryote. RNAcentral's name for it is "partial 16S ribosomal RNA". It matches the Rfam family "Bacterial small subunit ribosomal RNA". The record is from RNAcentral.
AGAGUUUGAUCCUGGCUCAGAUUGAACGCUGGCGGCAGGCUUAACACAUGCAAGUCGAACGGUAACAGGCCGCUGUGAUCUCUUCGGAGUGAACUUGGCGCUGACGAGUGGCGGACGGGUGCGUAACGCGUAGGAAUCUGCCCAGUAGAGGGGGAUAGCCCGGAGAAAUCCGGAUUAAUACCGCAUAAGCCCUUCGGGGGAAAGCAGGGGAUCUUCGGACCUUGCACUAUUGGAUGAGCCUGCGUCGGAUUAGCUUGUAGGUGGGGUAAUGGCCUACCUAGGCAACGUUCCGUAGCUGGUCUGAGAGGAUGAUCAGCCACACUGGGACUGAGACACGGCCCAGACUCCUACGGGAGGCAGCUGUGGGGAAUAUUGGACAAUGGUCGCAAGCUUGAUCCAGCCAUGCCGCGUGUGUGAAGAAGGCUCUAGGGUUGUAAAGCACUUUAAGUGGGGAGGAAAGGUUGUUAGUUAAUAGCCUUGCACUGUGACGUUACUUACAGAAGAAGCACCGGCUAACUCCGUGCCAGCAGCCGCGGUAAUACGGAGGGUGCGAGCGUUAAUCGGAAUGACUGGGCGUAAAGCGCGCGUAGGUGGUUUGUUAAGUUGGAUGUGAAAGCCCUGGGCUCAACCUGGGAACUGCAUCCAAAACUGGCAGACUAGAGUACGGUAGAGGGGGGUAGAAUUUCAGGUGUAGCGGUGAAAUGCGUAGAGAUCUGAAGGAAUACCAGUGGCGAAGGCGGCCCCCUGGACUGAUACUGACACUGAAGUGCGAAAGCGUGGGGAGCGAACAGGAUUAGAUCCCCUGGUAGUCCACGCCGUAAACGAUGUCUACUAGCCGUUGGGCAGCUUGACUGUUUAGUGGCGCAGCUAACGCGAUAAGUAGACCGCCUGGGGAGUACGGCCGCAAGGUUAAACCUCAAAUGAAUUGACGGGGGCCCGCACAAGCGGUGGAGCAUGUGGUUUAAUUCGACGCAACGCGAAGAACCUUACCAGGUCUUGACAUCCUGAGAAUCCUUCAGAGAUAGAGUAGUGCCUUCGGGAAUUCAGUGACAGGUGCUGCAUGGCAGUCGUCAGCUCGUGUCGUGAGAUGUUGGGUUAAGUCCCGCAACGAGCGCAACCCUUGUCCUUAGUUGCCAGCAGGUUAAGCUGGGCACUCUAGGGAGACUGCCGGUGAUAAGCCGGAGGAAGGUGGGGAUGACGUCAAGUCCUCAUGGCCUUUAUACCUAGGGCUACACACGUGUUACAAUGGGACAUACAGAGGGCUGCGAAACCGCGAGGUGUAGCGAAUCCCUUAAAAGGUCUCCCAGUUCGGAUUGCAGUCUGUAAUUUGACUGCAUGAAGUUGGAAUCGCUAGUAAUCGCGGAUUAGAACGCCGCGGUGAAUACGUUCCCGGGCCUUGUAUACACCGCCCGUCACACCAUGGGAGUUGACAGGGGCAUAAGUCGUUGAGCCAACCUUCGGGAGGCAGACGCCCAAGCUCUUGUCGAUGACUGGGGUGAAGUCGUAACAAGGUAACC